UGAGGAAUAUUGGACAAUGGAUGGAAAUCUGAUCCAGCCAUGCCGCGUGCAGGAAGACGGCCCUAUGGGUUGUAAACUGCUUUUGUAGGGGAGCAAUAAGGUCUAUGCGUAGACUGAUGAGAGUACCAUACGAAUAAGCAUCGGCUAACUCCGUGCCAGCAGCCGCGGUAAUACGGGGGAUGCAAGCGUAAUCAGGAUUAAUUGGGUUUAAAGGGUGCGUAGGCGGUUUGAUAAGUCAGCGGUGAAAUAUUUCAGCUUAACUGAAAGGGUGCCGUGGAUACUGUCAGGCUUGAAUAUGGUUGCUGUGGGUGGAAUGUGUGGUGUAGCGGUGAAAUGCUUAGAUAUCACACAGAAUAUCGAUUGCGAAGGCAGCUCACAAAGCCAUUAUUGACGCUGAUGCACGAAAGUGUGGGGAUCAAACA
This 422-nucleotide ribosomal RNA is filed under the name uncultured prokaryote. RNAcentral's name for it is "bacterial SSU rRNA". It matches the Rfam family "Bacterial small subunit ribosomal RNA", at positions 355 to 774 of the family's 1533-position model. The record is from RNAcentral.